AUGUCGAGCUCCGCUUCAGCCUCCCGCCGCUCAUGGCCGCGCUAUGGCGCAGUGCCCAUGACAAGGUGCCCUGCAUGCCCACGUAUCGCACCCCUGAAGCGGCUAGUCACAACGACCGACAAGAAUGGCAACCUUGGGCGGGAAUUCGUGAAAUGCGAGAGCAAACCAGAGCAGGGAAAGAAAUUGAAGCAAUGCACCCAUUUUGAGUGGCUAGAUGAGUACAUAGAGCGGAUUCAACUGGAGGGUGCAUCAGGGGAGCUCGAUUUACCGUUGGAGGCGGAGAAGUUGGGCAAGUUUGGAUCGGGCGCGUCUGGAUCUGGGGCCCCUGGAUCUAGCAAUUCCAUUGGGGGCGCCCAUUCCAUUGGUGCUACUGUGGGGGAUGCAGGAGUGAUGGCAGAGCUGAAGAAGCUGAACAAGCAGAUGAAGAAACUCAUCGAAUUGCAGAAGCAGGGCAAUUUGAUGGGGCUGAUGGCCGGACUUUUUUUAUGUCUGUGUAAUUGCUCUCCAAUUUGUUUAUGU
RNAcentral lists this ribosomal RNA (519 nucleotides) under Triticum aestivum (bread wheat). RNAcentral's name for it is "partial small subunit ribosomal RNA". The record is from RNAcentral. Lineage: Eukaryota; Viridiplantae; Streptophyta; Magnoliopsida; Poales; Poaceae.